Molecule: unclassified non-coding RNA, 1145 nt
Filed under: Hevea brasiliensis (rubber tree)
Lineage: Eukaryota; Viridiplantae; Streptophyta; Magnoliopsida; Malpighiales; Euphorbiaceae
Source: RNAcentral
AGAAUAUAUGCCUAAAGCUCUAGCAGGAGACUGCAUGAAUAUGGAAAAGCUUAAACAAUCUCUUCUGGUGCAUACAUUAACUAUGGACAGUUGUAACACAUGCAGGGGAAGGCAAUUUAAACUAAUGCAAUCAAAGUCGUAUAUUUAUAUCAUGGUAUGUGGACAGUUGGUGCAUGUAACAUGCAUAAAUUACAUUUGUCAUGAACUGCUGACAAGAAAAGGUAAGUCUGAACGUAAAUUAGAAAACUCACGGGCAUCUAAAUCACAAGAAAAUAUGGGAAGUGAUAAAGAUCCUCUGCAGCCUGCCGCGCGCAAGGGAGAGCAUUCAUUCGGUCUGGUUUCAAUUCGAGUUAGAAUUUAAAAAAUCGAAAAACCAAACUCAUGUAAAAUGCUAACUGAAACCGAACGGAGAAAGGAAUCGAAUCGAACCUAAUCAAAUCGGUUCAAGCCCAUCAGUUUUGUUCCAUCUCAACAAUGCCAGUUUCAAUAGCUCCAUGCCCAUCGAUUUUAAGCAAAAUUCAACCCAACAGACACAGAAGCAUGGAAUUUCAACAAUCAAAUUAACAAUAAAACCAACAAUUCUAACAAUCAAAAAAUGCAAAAACUAACAAUUUCAACAAUCAAGCAUACAAAUGUACAAAAUCCAACAAUUUUAACAAUCAAACAUUGUCAAACCCAGCAACUCCUAUAAUCCCAUAAAACCCAGUUCUUGAACAGCUAAACAAAAGUCAAUGAGUUGACCCACCUCUACCCAGAAGCAUCGACCGACAAGGUUUUACAUUGAGACAAUAGAAAUUGUUAAUCCAUUGAUUGAAGAAGAAAUGGGAGACUGAAGAUGAAUUUGUGGAUGCAUCGAAUUCAUUGAAGAUGAAUCUGCCCAAAAGUGUUGAAUCUAUGGAUUCAUCAAAUUUGGAGCUUGAAGACGUAAGAUGGGAGAUGCAUUUGAGGAUGGAGGCUGAGACGCAAGAGACACAUAGAGCACUGAGACUAGAGGGGACUUGUGAUUUUGAAAUGGAGAAAUAAAAAAAGAAGAGGAGAGAAUAAAGAAGUUUUGAAGUAGAGAGCCUUAAAGGAAUGAAGGAUUGAAGGGUGAGUCUUCGAGAGAGGAAGGAACAAGGAAGAAUGGGCGGCUGGACGGUCUCUAG